UUGGUGAUUGUAGACUGGUGUGUCAGGAGAAGGACCACUGGCGUCAAGUAGCCACUAGAUGGAGGUAUUGGACCGCGUAGCAGGACGCGGCGUGACAUAUUACCCGAUAAGGAUCAAAUCCUGCAGUGUUGUGUGGAUUAGUGACAAGUCAAUAAGAAGCUUUUCUCCAUGGUGCCUCUUCCGAAUCAUUAUCUGAGGACAACAGAAGUGAUUCACGAGGUGUUCCUGGAUGGGAGGCAGUUGAUUGCUUGGUGGAGAACCUGAAUGAGAGCAGAGGACCCCUCCAGGGCCAUGGAGAGCUUCAAGGAAACAAAUCGACUCUCACCUGGUCAACAAGCAGCUAAGAGGAGACCCUCGCCCCUCCUCCCCCGCAUCAUCAGGCUAUUGUCAUGGAAACAGCAGCAUGCGAAAGCGGAGACUUCGGAUGGGCACGCACAAGGCUGGUUGAGUUCAUAUAUAUAUACACUCAUCUCGGUCCGCACAGUUAAAUGUCCUGUGUUCAGAUUCCAUGCGUCUUCAGUAGUUUAGUAUAAGAACAAGGUUUACUCCUUUAGGAUGAUCAUUUAGAGACACCGACAUAACUUAUGUGAACUAUUAGUUUGAGAAUUCAGACUGCUUACUGGGCGCCACUGAAUACGUUUUCCACUAUGGAGUUCCCCAUCGACAGCCUGUUUCAUCAAGCGAUGAAGAUGACUCUCCUGAUGGGAUUAAUGGCGGUGAACACCAGAGCCAUCGAGACGGGUAAGAGGAUGCGACUUUAGAUCAGCACGUCUAACUAGUUUCAUUGCCGGCAUUCCACUUCACUUCAAUCACGUUAACAUACUUUAUUACCAGGUUUCUGGUUACUGUAAUAGCCUACUCUAAUAAUAACCUUUCUCUUCUCCUUCCUCCCUCCCCUCCUCUUCAGCGUUUAAGAUCUUAGAUUGGGUCCAAACUUUCCAUUAUGUGAUUAAUUACAACCGGCUGGCGAUACUCUUGGCUCCUUGCCUACUCUGGACUUCUUAUAACAGAUCAUUAUACAACCAAAUAUUCGAUUUAAACAAAAUAUUUGA
Molecule: long non-coding RNA, 1052 nt
Organism: Gadus chalcogrammus (walleye pollock)
Lineage: Eukaryota; Metazoa; Chordata; Actinopteri; Gadiformes; Gadidae
Exons: 4
Source: RefSeq, a predicted model, not a curated record